This 371-nucleotide ribosomal RNA is filed under the name uncultured organism. RNAcentral's name for it is "bacterial SSU rRNA". It matches the Rfam family "Bacterial small subunit ribosomal RNA", at positions 526 to 896 of the family's 1533-position model. The record is from RNAcentral.
CGUAGGGUGCGAGCGUUAAUCGGAAUUACUGGGCGUAAAGCGUGCGCAGGCGGUUUUGUAAGCCAGAUGUGAAAUCCCCGGGCUUAACCUGGGAAUGGCAUUUGGGACUGCAAGGCUUGAGUGCGGCAGAGGAGACUGGAAUUCCCGGUGUAGCAGUGAAAUGCGUAGAUAUCGGGAGGAAUACCGAUGGCGAAGGCAGGUCUCUGGGCUGACACUGACGCUCAUGCACGAAAGCGUGGGGAGCAAACAGGAUUAGAUACCCUGGUAGUCCACGCCCUAAACGAUGUCGACUGGUUGUUGGGGGUUUGACACUCUCAGUAACGAAGCUAACGCGUGAAGUCGACCGCCUGGGGAGUACGGCCGCAAGGUUA